Molecule: ribosomal RNA, 245 nt
Filed under: uncultured Granulicella sp.
Lineage: Bacteria; Pseudomonadati; Acidobacteriota; Terriglobia; Terriglobales; Acidobacteriaceae
Description: partial 16S ribosomal RNA
Rfam family: Bacterial small subunit ribosomal RNA
Source: RNAcentral
UACGAGGGGGGCAAGCGUUGUUCGGAAUUAUUGGGCGUAAAGGGUGCGUAGGCGGUUUGAUAAGUCAUCUGUGAAAUCUCUGGGCUCAACCCAGAGUCUGCAGGCGAAACUGUCGGGCUUGAGAGUGGGAGAGGUGAGUGGAAUUUCCGGUGUAGCGGUGAAAUGCGUAGAUAUCGGAAGGAACACCUGUGGCGAAAGCGGCUCACUGGACCAUUUCUGACGCUGAUGCACGAAAGCUAGGGGAG